Molecule: ribosomal RNA, 876 nt
Filed under: Enterococcus casseliflavus
Lineage: Bacteria; Bacillati; Bacillota; Bacilli; Lactobacillales; Enterococcaceae
Description: bacterial SSU rRNA
Rfam family: Bacterial small subunit ribosomal RNA
Source: RNAcentral
CUUUUUCUUUCACCGGAGCUUGCUCCACCGAAAGAAAAAGAGUGGCGAACGGGUGAGUAACACGUGGGUAACCUGCCCAUCAGAAGGGGAUAACACUUGGAAACAGGUGCUAAUACCGUAUAACACUAUUUUCCGCAUGGAAGAAAGUUGAAAGGCGCUUUUGCGUCACUGAUGGAUGGACCCGCGGUGCAUUAGCUAGUUGGUGAGGUAACGGCUCACCAAGGCAACGAUGCAUAGCCGACCUGAGAGGGUGAUCGGCCACACUGGGACUGAGACACGGCCCAGACUCCUACGGGAGGCAGCAGUAGGGAAUCUUCGGCAAUGGACGAAAGUCUGACCGAGCAACGCCGCGUGAGUGAAGAAGGUUUUCGGAUCGUAAAACUCUGUUGUUAGAGAAGAACAAGGAUGAGAGUAAAAUGUUCAUCCCUUGACGGUAUCUAACCAGAAAGCCACGGCUAACUACGUGCCAGCAGCCGCGGUAAUACGUAGGUGGCAAGCGUUGUCCGGAUUUAUUGGGCGGAAAGCGAGCGCAGGCGGUUUCUUAAGUCUGAUGUGAAAGCCCCCGGCUCAACCGGGGAGGGUCAUUGGAAACUGGGAGACUUGAGUGCAGAAGAGGAGAGUGGAAUUCCAUGUGUAGCGGUGAAAUGCGUAGAUAUAUGGAGGAACACCAGUGGCGAAGGCGGCUCUCUGGUCUGUAACUGACGCUGAGGCUCGAAAGCGUGGCGAGCGAACAGGAUUAGAUACCCUGGUAGUCCACGCCGUAAACGAUGAGUGCUAAGUGUUGGAGGGUUUCCGCCCUUCAGUGCUGCAGCAAACGCAUUAAGCACUCCGCCUGGCGAGUACGACCGCAAGGUUGAAACUCAAAGGAAUUGACGG